GUUGAACGCUGGCGGCAGGCCUAACACAUGCAAGUCGAGCGGAAACAGGAAGCAGUUUGCUGCUUUGCUGAAGCGUGGCAGGCGUGUGUGACAUGUCGGGGACACUGCUUGAUGGCGGGGGUUAACUACUGGAACCGGUGGCAAUUACGGCAUAACUUCGCAAGCCCAAAGAGGGGUAGUUUCGGGCGGCUUUCCAUUCGCUUUUCGCAGAUGGGAUUAGCUAGUAGGUGGGGUAACGGCUCACCUAGGCGACGAUCCCUAGCUGGUCUGAGAGGAUGACCGGCCACACUGGAACUGAGACACGGUCCAGACUCCUACGGGAGGCAGCAGUGGGGAAUAUUGCACAAUGGGCGCAAGCCUGAUGCAGCCAUGCCGCGUGUAUGAAGAAGGCCUUCGGGUUGUAAAGUACUUUCAGCGGGGAGGAAGGGAGUAAAGUUAAUACCUUGGCUCAUUGACGUUACCCGCAGAAGAAGCACCGGCUAACUCCGUG
This 490-nucleotide ribosomal RNA is filed under the name uncultured bacterium. RNAcentral's name for it is "partial 16S ribosomal RNA". It matches the Rfam family "Bacterial small subunit ribosomal RNA", at positions 28 to 507 of the family's 1533-position model. The record is from RNAcentral.